RNAcentral lists this long non-coding RNA (285 nucleotides) under Elaeis guineensis (African oil palm). Its description in RNAcentral is "long non-coding RNA (EGUI_LNC038769)". The record is from RNAcentral. Lineage: Eukaryota; Viridiplantae; Streptophyta; Magnoliopsida; Arecales; Arecaceae.
UUUAUUGAAAUAAAAAUUAUAGUUAUCCUGCACAAAUAUGAAAAUUAAAUUUCUACUAACUACAGGUACAUAAUAACGUCUUUUAAUAAUAAUCUAUAUCCUAACGAUAGUCACAGAGGAUAGGUCCCGACAGUCACAGCAGUAACUCUUACUCCAUUGCCGACCCAGAGAGUGAUCUCGUCUUCCCUCUGCCCCUUAACUUCUUCAAGACUCAAUAUAGAAGUGUACAAGUGAACACUUAAAUUAGAAUCUAGAAUCCAACUAAAAGAAGAGAAAAUCAUUAGA